This 408-nucleotide ribosomal RNA is filed under the name uncultured bacterium. RNAcentral describes it as "partial 16S ribosomal RNA". It matches the Rfam family "Bacterial small subunit ribosomal RNA", at positions 28 to 526 of the family's 1533-position model. The record is from RNAcentral.
GACGAACGCUGGCGGCGUGCUUAACACAUGCAAGUCGACAUGAGUGGCGAACGGGUGAGUAAUACGUGGGUAACCUGCCCUCCUUUUUGGGAUAAGCCUUGGAAACGGGGUCUAAUACCGAAUAAAGGGGGCUGGGCUCGCGGCCUAUCAGGUUGUUGGUGGGGUGAUGGCCUACCAAGGCGUGGACGGGUAGCCGGCAUGAGAGGUUGACCGGCAACAUUGGGACGGGGGAGCGGCCCAGGGUAGUACGGGAGGCAGAAGUGUGGGCUAUUGCCCAAUGGGUGAAAGACUGAUGCAGCGUCGUCGCAGGGGGGAUGAAGGCUUUAGAGUUGUAAACCUCGUUCGGUAUGGAACGGGUAGGUGGAGAAGAAGCGCCGGCUAACUACGUGCCAGCCGCCGCGGUAAUAC